This 74-nucleotide transfer RNA is filed under the name Pseudoduganella albidiflava. RNAcentral's name for it is "Massilia albidiflava tRNA-OTHER". It matches the Rfam family "tRNA". Rfam says of the family: Transfer RNA (tRNA) molecules are approximately 80 nucleotides in length. Their secondary structure includes four short double-helical elements and three loops (D, anti-codon, and T loops). The record is from RNAcentral. Lineage: Bacteria; Pseudomonadati; Pseudomonadota; Betaproteobacteria; Burkholderiales; Oxalobacteraceae.
UCCGGGGUAGUUCAGUGGAAGAAUGCCUGGCUUUUACCGGGUGGGCGCCGGUUCGAUUCCGGCCCCCGGACCCA